GUUAGCGGCGGACGGGUGAGUAACACGUGGGCAACCUACCUUAUAGUUUGGGAUAACUCCGGGAAACCGGGGCUAAUACCGAAUAAUCUAUUUUACUUCAUGGUGAAAUACUGAAAGACGGUUUCGGCUGUCGCUAUAAGAUGGGCCCGCGGCGCAUUAGCUAGUUGGUGAGGUAACGGCUCACCAAGGCGACGAUGCGUAGCCGACCUGAGAGGGUGAUCGGCCACACUGGGACUGAGACACGGCCCAGACUCCUACGGGAGGCAGCAGUAGGGAAUCUUCCACAAUGGGCGAAAGCCUGAUGGAGCAACGCCGCGUGAGUGAAGAAGGUUUUCGGAUCGUAAAACUCUGUUGUAAGGGAAGAACAAGUACAGUAGUAACUGGCUGUACCUUGACGGUACCUUAUUAGAAAGCCACGGCUAACUACGUGCCAGCAGCCGCGGUAAUACGUAGGUGGCAAGCGUUGUCCGGAAUUAUUGGGCGUAAAGCGCGCGCAGGCGGUCCUUUAAGUCUGAUGUGAAAGCCCACGGCUCAACCGUGGAGGGUCAUUGGAAACUGGGGGACUUGAGUGCAGAAGAGGAA
This 582-nucleotide ribosomal RNA is filed under the name bacterium N0007. RNAcentral describes it as "bacterial SSU rRNA". It matches the Rfam family "Bacterial small subunit ribosomal RNA", at positions 91 to 659 of the family's 1533-position model. The record is from RNAcentral.